UACGUAGGGUGCAAGCGUUAUCCGGAAUCAUUGGGCGUAAAGCGUUCGUAGGCGGUUUAUUAAGUUUGUAGUUAAAUCUGGUGGCUCAACCAUCAACUCGCUACAAAAACUAAUAGACUAGAGAUUGACAGAGGCAACUGGAAUUCUGCAAGUAGGGGUAAAAUCAGUUGAUAUGCAGAGGAACACCAAAAGCGAAGGCAGGUUGCUGGGUCAUUUCUGACGCUGAGGAACGAAAGCGUGGGGAGCAAACAGG
This 253-nucleotide ribosomal RNA is filed under the name uncultured bacterium. Its description in RNAcentral is "partial 16S ribosomal RNA". It matches the Rfam family "Bacterial small subunit ribosomal RNA", at positions 524 to 776 of the family's 1533-position model. The record is from RNAcentral.